Molecule: ribosomal RNA, 309 nt
Filed under: bacterium AGH-03
Lineage: Bacteria
Description: bacterial SSU rRNA
Rfam family: Bacterial small subunit ribosomal RNA
Source: RNAcentral
UCGAGCGACUGAUUAGAAGCUUGCUUCUAUGACGUUAGCGGCGGACGGGUGAGUAACACGUGGGCAACCUGCCUGUAAGACUGGGAUAACUCCGGGAAACCGGAGCUAAUACCGGAUAACAUUUUUUCUUGCAUAAGAGAAAAUUGAAAGAUGGUUUCGGCUAUCACUUACAGAUGGGCCCGCGGUGCAUUAGCUAGUUGGUGAGGUAACGGCUCACCAAGGCAACGAUGCAUAGCCGACCUGAGAGGGUGAUCGGCCACACUGGGACUGAGACACGGCCCAGACUCCUACGGGAGGCAGCAGGGAAAA